RNAcentral lists this ribosomal RNA (975 nucleotides) under uncultured Hypocreales. RNAcentral's name for it is "eukaryotic LSU rRNA". The stretch from base 333 to 975 matches the Rfam family "Eukaryotic large subunit ribosomal RNA", at positions 1 to 667 of the family's 3401-position model. The record is from RNAcentral. Lineage: Eukaryota; Fungi; Ascomycota; Sordariomycetes; Hypocreales.
AAAACUUUCAACAACGGAUCUCUUGGCUCUGGCAUCGAUGAAGAACGCAGCGAAAUGCAAUAAGUAAUGUGAAUUGCAGAAUUCAGUGAAUCAUCGAAUCUUUGAACGCACAUUGCGCCCGCCAGUAUUCUGGCGGGCAUGCCUGUUCGAGCGUCAUUACAACCCUCAGGCCCCCGGGCCUGGCGUUGGGGAUCGGCGGAAGCCCCCUGCGGGCACAACGCCGUCCCCCAAAUACAGUGGCGGUCCCGCCGCAGCUUCCAUUGCGUAGUAGCUAACACCUCGCAACUGGAGAGCGGCGCGGCCACGCCGUAAAACACCCAACUUCUGAAUGUUGACCUCGAAUCAGGUAGGAAUACCCGCUGAACUUAAGCAUAUCAAUAAGCGGAGGAAAAGAAACCAACAGGGAUUGCCCCAGUAACGGCGAGUGAAGCGGCAACAGCUCAAAUUUGAAAUCUGGCUCUCGGGCCCGAGUUGUAAUUUGUAGAGGAUGCUUUUGGUGAGGUGCCUUCCGAGUUCCCUGGAACGGGACGCCAUAGAGGGUGAGAGCCCCGUCUGGUUGGACACCGAUCCUCUGUAAAGCUCCUUCGACGAGUCGAGUAGUUUGGGAAUGCUGCUCUAAAUGGGAGGUAUAUGUCUUCUAAAGCUAAAUACCGGCCAGAGACCGAUAGCGCACAAGUAGAGUGAUCGAAAGAUGAAAAGAACUUUGAAAAGAGAGUUAAAAAGUACGUGAAAUUGUUGAAAGGGAAGCGCUUGUGACCAGACUUGGGCUUGGUUGAUCAUCCGGGGUUCUCCCCGGUGCACUCUUCCGGCUCAGGCCAGCAUCAGUUCGCCCUGGGGGAUAAAGGCUUCGGGAAUGUGGCUCUCUCCGGGGAGUGUUAUAGCCCGCUGCGUAAUACCCUGUGGCGGACUGAGGUUCGCGCAUUCGCAAGGAUGCUGGCGUAAUGGUCAUCAGUGACCCGUCUUGAAACACGGACC